Paramormyrops kingsleyae is the source of this 67-nucleotide small nucleolar RNA. RefSeq annotates it as small nucleolar RNA SNORD58. The record is from RefSeq and is a predicted model, not a curated record. NCBI's taxonomy places the organism in Eukaryota, Metazoa, Chordata, Actinopteri, Osteoglossiformes, Mormyridae.
UAGCAAUGAUGACAUACUUAGGACACCUUUGGAUCAUCUGUGAAAAGAAUCAUACCUUCUGAGCCAU